This is a non-coding RNA of Styela clava, 965 nucleotides long. The record is from RefSeq and is a predicted model, not a curated record. Lineage: Eukaryota; Metazoa; Chordata; Ascidiacea; Stolidobranchia; Styelidae.
CUUGAGUUUUUCAAUUGUUUUUUCUACAGCACCGGAUACUAUAGCAAAACCAAUCGCUUCUGAUGACACCACCGACAGUAACGGAAUGCGCAGAAUAACCGUGACUAAACCUGAUGAAAGCAAUGGUUUACUGAGCUGUUUAUUUAUCAUUGUAAAUGAUGGAUCGUCUGGUGAAAACACAAAUUUCAACAUGGGGAAUUUGAUCAAUGCACAGAGCUCACCACAGCAUAUAUCGCCGUAGCGUUGCCAGUUUACAGAUUUACUGGCGAUAAACAAGUCGUCAAUCUUGGCGAUGGUUCGAAAUCCUCUUGUAACGUCACUCAAACAAUCGAUGCCUUGUCCAAGAAGCGAAGGUGGCGGAGAAAUGUCAGAGAGAACACAAUAUUUAUUGGGCAAAAUCGAAAACUGGGCAAAGAAAAAUCUUACAAUCUAUUCGUCGUGUCAACAACGCCUUGUGGAAAUGAUAUUUGCUUGCGGUCGAGUUCGUCAAUACUAUUGAAAACAAAGAAAUCGUUCGAGUUCAACAUCGUCAGUUUCGUAAUUGGUUUUCUUAUUCCUUCGAUCUUCUGCGUAGUCUUUGGCUUAAUCAUAUACAAACAGAUGAAAAAGAUAAAGAAGUUGGAGAAAAAUGCAGAAGCGAAAGAACAUAAUUACGAAACUAUACAGGAAAAAGCAACUUUCUCCAACGACCCAGUUUCUCAACCAUCAUAUUCGAACGUGCUACAGGAAACCGCCGGUUACGAACAAGCUCUACCUGCGACAACUAAGCAAACACAAGUAGAAUCAGCUUACGAAACUUACAACGCCUAAUGAACUUCAGCUAUGAAGUAUCUACUCGAACAUCAUAAAAUGGAAAAAAACAUGUUGAAUUUCCUAAAAAAUUCAACAAUCAUGUUGGUGUCGAUCGACAUUCCUAUGUUACACUCGGACCAAGAAUUUAUUGGUCUCUAUUCACUUGCUCACUC